AUAGAGCAUUACUUGGGGUGCCUGUCAUGAAGCAGAUUUCCUUUGAUGUACGAGUGUAAAAUCGGCCUGGGCUGCUUCCCUCUGUGGACUGUUACUGUU
Molecule: non-coding RNA, 99 nt
Organism: Notechis scutatus (mainland tiger snake)
Lineage: Eukaryota; Metazoa; Chordata; Lepidosauria; Squamata; Elapidae
Source: RefSeq, a predicted model, not a curated record